GACAAUGUUAAGCUUAACCUUUAUUUAGUAGCCCACUCACCCAAUUUUAACAAUAAUUCCCUCACACUAUUCUUUUUUCCCAAAUUUCUGUCUGUUAGCUUCUGCAAUUGAUUCAAGUUUGAUAACAUGCAGCCAACCCUUUCACUAAUAACAUUCUCUUUAGUUUUUCCAAAUCGUAAUUUCUUCGCUCCUGCAUUCAGAUCAAGCCAGCUAACCCGCUCAAUCCGUUCCUAUUUAGGUUCUAGGUACGAUCGGACGUUUUAUGGAAGAGCAGAGGACCACGAUUUGCCGUUCGAGUCGCCGAAUAAGCAAGCAAAAUCGGCGGAAUCUGAUUCUACCAGCAAACCCAAUCGCCAAGAAGACUUGAAGGAACCCUAAGUUGCUCCAUUGCAUCUCCCUCACCGUCACUUUCUCUGUAGGUAGUGCUCUGAAUCUUGCCUUUCUCUGUAGGUAGUGCUCUGAACCCAGCCUCUUGUAUAGUUUGAAUAUUAGUGCCUAUAGGUUCCUCCGAUGGAGUACUCUUCUCAAGAGUAUUACUCAAUGCAUCCGAAGAAGACAUUCUAUAAAUCAAGAAAUAUAAAUCAUGAAUUAAAAUCACAUAAAUCCAACUCAGAUAUUUCCAUAAUACGUUUAACUUAGUUUUAAGACACUUGUUAAUAGUAUCCAAUAGUAAAUAUAAAUAUUCACGUUAACUUUUUUUUUAUGAUAAUAUUCUCGUUAACUUUAAUAGAAUAAUUUAUGUGCAACCUAUAUAAACUUUUUGUUGUAUUAAACUGACAAGUAAAAUAAUAAAUUUCUAUAUUAUGGACCACAACGCCACAAACUAAUAGAUAAAUUGGAAGGUUAAUGGAAUGUUAGGAAACAGACUAGAGGGAAAAAGUGCAAUAAUUGAUAUUGACAUUCACGCCAUCACCAGGAAAAACCAAAAAAAAGUUACUGACAUUUCAAUUUCGAAUAAGAAACACCGAGGAGAUUAAUAUAAACAACAAAACAUCUUACACUAUUAUCAUGUCAAAGUAACAAAUCAACAUUUUUAUUACUCCAAAAAAAAUCAACAUUUUACAAAUAAUUUCUAUCAAAUCUGCAUUAAUGGAAAGAAAAAAUUGUUUUCCAUCUGAUAUGCAAAACGCAAGUGUACUUCUGCAGUUUUAUAUUGACCUAACUAAGUUGCCAUUGGUAAAUAUUGAAUCCAAACAUAGAGAACCAAAAUUCUUGACCAAAAUUGAUCACUUGCCAGAUCUCAUUGACCAAAAUUGAUUGCCAUAUCCAUACAAUAACUAUCCUAAAACGAAUCUGCUUAGCCAAUAUUUUCCCCUACUGCUUACGAAAUUGUCAAUACUCAAUAGGGGGACAAUAAUUCUCAUGGAUAUUCCAAAAGAGAUUGGCACCAAAAAACUGAUUUCACUAUCAUUUCCUUUCCAUUUUCAUAUGGCAUUUGGGCAUAUGUAUCUGCUAGAGGUUUGUUAUGUCCCCCUUGAAUUAUAUGACACAAAUCUUUAAGGAGUGUAUAAGUAGAGAAGCAUAGAAACGAAUUGAAGAGUAUAAUAUGGGAAUUGGAAAAUUUGUUUCAUAAACACUGUUGGGUUUAAUCUGCUCAGAUAUUGAAAUAUAAAUUACACAACCAGAAAUUCAUAGUCGAAAAUUCAUUAACCUAAUCAGAAAUUCACAAAUUAGUUAACCUAAUCAGAAAUUUACAAAUUCAAAACUCAGAAAUCUAGAAAUUCAAAACACAGAAACUCAAAUUAAUUGGAAUCUCAUUAAUUCAGAACACAGAAAUUUCUUACCCUAAUUCAAAAAUCUAAUUUCAGAAAAGAGGAUGGAAGACCAGCGAAGACCAGGGCUAACAUACCUGAACCUGACGGAGAAAAUGGGAAGGAAGACCAGCGAAGACCGGGAUGCAAAGAGGAAGACCCGCGGCGGUGAGCUCGACUGCCUCGACACCUUCAGUGAGCGAACCGAGCCACUCAAGGGGUCUGGAGUGGGAGGCAGCGAUGAGAGACCAGAG
RNAcentral lists this long non-coding RNA (2005 nucleotides) under Arachis ipaensis. Its description in RNAcentral is "long non-coding RNA (AIPA_LNC001128)". The record is from RNAcentral. Lineage: Eukaryota; Viridiplantae; Streptophyta; Magnoliopsida; Fabales; Fabaceae.